UGCCCACCUCUCCAAUGCUUGGAGCAGCAUGCAUGCAUAGGAACUGUGAAACCACAGUCUGUCUGUCUGUCCGUCCAUCCAUCCAUCCAUCCAUCCCUUCGCUAACCUGGUGAAGGAGUGAGGAGAGGCAGCACAUGACACAAGCCCAAAGCCAUCCAUGGUGUUCUGCUGCUACCUGGGAUUGGCUAUUGGAGAAGAAAUUUGAAGAUGCAUAGACAAAUCUGGAUUGUUUUAUUUAUGAAGGGGUCCAGGAGCAGAUGUCAGGAAGAUCCUGGGCUGGCGAAGCCGCAGGACAAUGUCGCAGGGGGAAGAGUGACUCCAGCACACAACAGCCACAUAUGUGUGAAGAUUAUAUCUAUAAUGAUGACCCAAACCAGUAAGAUGUCCUGUGUGUGUGUGUGUGUGUGUGUGUGUGUGUGUGUAUACAGUAUCUCACAAAAAUGAGUACACCCCUUACAUAUUUGUAAAUAUUUUAUUAUAUCUUUUCAUGGGACAACACUGAAGACAUCGCACUUUGAUACAAUGUAAAGUAGUCAGUGUACAGCGUGUAAAUUUGCUGUCCCCUCAAAAUAACUAAACACACAACCAUUGAUGUCUAAAAUGCUGGUAACAAAAGUGAGUAGACCCCUAAGUGAAAAUUGUGCCCAAAGUGUCAAUACUUUGUGUGGCCACCAUUAUUUUCCAGCACUGCCUUAACUGUCUUGGGCUUGGACUUCACUAGAGAUUCAGAGGUUGCCACUGGAAUCCUCUUCAACUCCUCCAUGACGACAUCACGAAGCUGGUGGAUGUUAGAGACCUUGCGCUCCUCCACCUUCCGUUUGAGGCCCCACAGAUGCCCAAUAGGGUUUAGGUCCGGAGACAUGCUUGGCCAGUCCAGCACCUUUACCCUCAGUUUCUUUAGCACGGCAGUGGUCGUCUUGCAGGUGUGUUUGGGGUCGCUAUCAUGUUGGAAUACUGCCCUGCGGCCCAGUUUCCAAAGGGAGGGGAUGAUGCUCUGCUUCAGUAUAUCACAGUACAUGUUGACAUUCAUGUUUCCCUCAAUGAACUGUAGCUCCAAAACAUGAUUUCAUUUCAUAAUGUCCAUGAAAUAUGCAGACGGUUGCGCUGAGUACACCAAAUAUCAGAUGAAGUGAGGGAGGAGGAGUUUUUAUCCACUUUUAACUUUAAUAUUUGGUAUGUCCACCUUUUGCAGCAAUAAUAGCAUCACAUCGAUCUGGCAUAGUGUCAAUACAUUUCCUGAGAACUUCAGCACUAAUGUUAUCCCAUGCCUUCUGCCAAAGAGUUUCCUUUCAAUCUACAAUACAUCUGUCCAGUUUAUUUUCCAAUCCGCCCCAAAUGUGCUUGAUGGGGUUGAGGUCCAGACUUAAUGGGGCCAGUCCAUUCCUUCAGUUGCAGGUAGUUCCUGCAAUAGUUAGUGGAAUGUUUAGGAUCAUUGUCCUCUUGACCGUGUUUUGAAUGGAAAUCCCUGGAUGAAGGUGUGUUUUACCGCUGGCCCGGUCCCAAUAAGACGACUCUCAGAUGGUACUCUGUGCCUCACCAGAAUGUUGCGGUAUACUUUCUUAUCCAUCAUGCCAUCAAUUUUCUCUGUCACCUGUUCCUGAGACUGAAAUGGCACCCCACACCAUAAUACUACCCCCUCCGUAUUUCACUGUUGGCAAGAGACACUCCUUUUUAUAGCUCUCCCCCUCCCUCCAUCCAGUCCUGCUCUUCGCGUCUUACCAAACUUCAAACUUGGUCUCAUCAGUCCAAAACACUUUAUACCAAUCUUCCUUUGUCCAUUUCUUGUAUUCUUUUGCAAAUUUCAGGCGUUUCGCUCUAUUUUUCUCUCUCAGUAAUGGUUUAUUUGCUGCUAUUCUGGCAGCAAGUCCUUCUUCCAGUCUCUGAUGCAUAGUUCUUGAAGACACUGUUUCACCAUUAGUCACUGUGGUGUUGAUCUCAUCACACAGUCUUUCUACAGUCCUUAUGACUGAGAAUUUUGAGAUGCUUCACUUGUCUGUCUGAAAGUUUCUUUUUCCUACCUAACCCCUUUCAGUUCUGACAUGAAUUGGUGGCAUCAUGGUGGUCUAAAGUGUAUUUUACAGUCCUUGGACCGCAUCUCAGGUCCUUGGCUAUGCGGCGGUAACUCCAGCCAGCAUCCAAAAUGGCCUUUAUUCGAACCUGUUGCUCACACGUUAGCUCUUUCUUCACUUUAGCCAUGUUCAAAGAAGAGCAAUACAGUAUGUGCUUCAGGACUACUUCUAGAGGCUUUGAAUUUAUACCAAUUGGUGGUGUGGCCUCAAUGACAAAACCCUGAUGUUUCCAAUCACUUAAUGAGCAGGAUAGACCUUGUACAUUCAAAUUAUCAAACAGCUGUGCCCUAAGACUCUUGCUUCACAAUCAGGUUAACCAUGAUCACACCUGACAGUGAUUACACAAGUAAUUUGGCUUCUUCUGUGAAGGAACAUGAUUGUGUGACAUUGACAGUGAAAUAGGCCAAGCUUGUUUUUUGUAAGGAACAUAACCUAAAUCUCCUUCUGAUGGCUUAUAGAGCACGAUGAUGAUUUUGUAGAGAUUUCAUUAGUUUUAUGGGUAUUUUAAUGGCCAAUUCAACAAAAAAAACUGAAACGUCUUAAAUAUGGCAAGUGUUCUAAUAAUUUUGGCCACUACUUUAUAUGUAUGUGUGACGAUUUUUACUCGUAUAAUGAUGACCCAAACCAGUAAGAUUUUCUCUCUCUAUAUAUAUAUAUGUAUAUGAAGGCUCUCCAUAUAUAACACUAUAUUGCCAAAAGUAUUGGGACACUUGCCUUUACACACACAUGAACUUUAAUG
Paramormyrops kingsleyae is the source of this 2808-nucleotide long non-coding RNA. RefSeq lists it as uncharacterized. NCBI's taxonomy places the organism in Eukaryota, Metazoa, Chordata, Actinopteri, Osteoglossiformes, Mormyridae. The record is from RefSeq and is a predicted model, not a curated record.